Molecule: ribosomal RNA, 253 nt
Filed under: uncultured bacterium
Lineage: Bacteria
Description: partial 16S ribosomal RNA
Rfam family: Bacterial small subunit ribosomal RNA
Source: RNAcentral
UACGUAGGCAGCGAGCGUUGUUCGGAGUUACUGGGCGUAAAGGGUGUGUAGGCGGUUUUCUAAGUUUGGUGUGAAAUCUCCCGGCUCAACCGGGAGGGUGCGCCGAAAACUGGGAGACUAGAGUGCGGGAUGGGAGAGUAGAAUUCCUGGUGUAGCGGUGAAAUGCGCAGAUAUCAGGAGGAACACCGGUGGCGAAGGCGGGUCUCUGGGCCGUAACUGACGCUGAGGAGCGAAAGCAUGGGGAGCGAACAGG